AUAAACUAGUUAGAAAACUUAUACCUUACUUAGCCUAAGAUGAUUGACUUCAAUUGCAAUGGCUUGACUAUCUAUCUUAAAGUGAAUAUUUUUUCCUCAUAUUUUGGUCAAAGUUUUUUACUUUUUUUGUUCGUUUAGUUAGAGGAAUUGGAGACAUUAAAAGAAAAUUAUAUUUACAAAAAAGUCACUAAAAGCAGAAUCAAUACAUAGCCAAAUUGGUAUUUGGAUUAACGUUGCCCUUUUUUUUUUGUAGAGAUAGUUUUUCAUUCUUUCAUUUUCUAAUUCCUCUAAUUAGGAUAAAUCGAAAAGAUAAAGAAAUCUGACCACAAUUUAAAAUAAAUUCACUAAAGAUGAAAAUAAACUAGUUAGAAAACUUAUACCUUACUUAGCCUAAGAGGAUUGACUUCAAUUGCAAUGGCUUGACUAUCUAUGCCAUUUUUAAUAUGGGAGAACCCUUCUUGGCAUGUGCCAGUUUUUUGAAGCUAUGUAUUUUUUUGUUGUCAAAACUGUCCUCAUAAAACUUAUUUUUUUACUUAUAAGUCGGGGGCAAAAAUGACAACUCCAUUUUCAGAUAUAUAAAAAUGCACACAGUGUGUGUGACACCCUUCUAGUAUCAUUUUAAAUUGAUGGGGCUGAAGUGGGAUUUAGCACAGUGUACAGGGGAUGAAAGUGUAAUUUACCCUUGAUUAUUUUGUGGAUUCGAAAAGCCUUUUCACUUUAUGGGUUAUGAUUAAAAUGUAGUUUAAAAUUGAUGAAGAUUGAGAAGAAAAAUUGGGGUGGUUGGAUGGUGGGGCCAAGGUAAGUUAUGAUUGAUAAUUGAUGCCACAUGGAUAUGAUCACAAACUUAGUUUUCAGUUUUUGUCCAUUUCUUCUACUUUCUACUUUGGGCCUUUUUUUGUUUCUAUAGGAUGCUGCUCU
Molecule: long non-coding RNA, 918 nt
Filed under: Actinidia chinensis (golden kiwifruit)
Lineage: Eukaryota; Viridiplantae; Streptophyta; Magnoliopsida; Ericales; Actinidiaceae
Description: long non-coding RNA (ACHI_LNC005214)
Source: RNAcentral